RNAcentral lists this ribosomal RNA (300 nucleotides) under uncultured Eubacterium sp. RNAcentral describes it as "bacterial SSU rRNA". It matches the Rfam family "Bacterial small subunit ribosomal RNA", at positions 496 to 795 of the family's 1533-position model. Lineage: Bacteria; Bacillati; Bacillota; Clostridia; Eubacteriales; Eubacteriaceae. The record is from RNAcentral.
GCUGAGAACGUGUCGUCGGUGGUUGUAAUGCUGAGGGGGCAAGCGUUGUCCUGAUUCAUUGGGCGUAAAGGGCGGGUAGGCGGCCAGGUAGGUCGUUUGUGAAAACUGGAGGCUCAACCGUCAGAGGUUGACCGAAACCAUCUGGCUAGAGUCCGGGAGAGGAGAGUGGAAUUCCUGGUGUAGCGGUGAAAUGCGCAGAUAUCAGGAAGAACACCCGUGGCGAAAGCGGCUCUCUGGAACGGUACUGACGCUGAGACGCGAAAGCGUGGGGAGCGAACAGGAUUAGAUACCCCAGUAGUC